Molecule: ribosomal RNA, 314 nt
Filed under: uncultured bacterium
Lineage: Bacteria
Description: partial 16S ribosomal RNA
Rfam family: Bacterial small subunit ribosomal RNA
Source: RNAcentral
UUAUAAGAGACAGCAGCAGCCGCGGUAAUACGGGGGGUGCAAGCGUUAUUCGGAUUGAUUGGGUGUAAAGGGUGUGCAGACGGCUUAUUAAGUCACUUGUUAAAUUCUUCGGCCUAACUGAAGGUCUGCAAGUGAUACUGAUGAGCUAGAGGGUGGAAGAGAGAAGUGGAAUUCUCGGAGUAGCGGUAAAAUGCGUAGAUCUCGAGAGGAACACCAAUGGCGAAGGCAGCUUCUUGGUCCAUUCCUGACGUUCAUACACGAAAGCGUGGGGAGCAAACAGGAUUAGAUACCCCGGUAGUCCCUGUCUCUUAUAC